UUCCUACGGGAGGCAGCAGGGGGGAAUCUUGCGCAAUGGGCAGAAGCCUGACGCAGCGACGCCGCGUGCGGGACGAAGGCCUUCGGGUCGUAAACCGCUUUCCGCAGGGACGAGGACCUCACGGUGACGGUACCUGCAGAAGAAGCCCCGGCUAACUACGUGCCAGCAGCCGCGGUAAUACGUAGGGGGCGAGCGUUAUCCGGAUUCAUUGGGCGUAAAGCGCGCGUAGGCGGCCUGUUAGGUCGGGGGUCGAGUACCGAGGCUC
RNAcentral lists this ribosomal RNA (265 nucleotides) under uncultured bacterium. RNAcentral describes it as "partial 16S ribosomal RNA". It matches the Rfam family "Bacterial small subunit ribosomal RNA", at positions 336 to 610 of the family's 1533-position model. The record is from RNAcentral.